This 122-nucleotide microRNA precursor is filed under the name Pelodiscus sinensis (Chinese soft-shelled turtle). Its description in RNAcentral is "miRNA (ENSPSIG00000019488.1)". The record is from RNAcentral. Lineage: Eukaryota; Metazoa; Chordata; Testudines; Trionychidae.
GUGUGUGUGUGUGUGCAUGUACGCAUGCGUGUGCAUGUACAUGUACGUAUGUGUGUGUGAGCGUGUGCAUGCGUGUGCAUGUGUGUGUGCCUGUGCAUGUGUGUAUUUGUGUGUGUGUGCAU